GGAGGAAAAGGAACCAACAGGGAUUGCCCCAGUAACGGCGAGUGAAGCGGCAAAAGCUCAAAUUUGAAAUCCUGCGGGAAUUGUAAUUUGAAGGUUUCGUGGUCUGAGUCGGCCGCGCCCAAGUCCAUUGGAACAUGGCGCCUGGGAGGGUGAGAGCCCCGUAUGGCGCACGCCGACUCUUUGCACCGCGGCUCCGACGAGUCGAGUUGUUUGGGAAUGCAGCUCUAAGUGGGUGGUAAAUUCCAUCUAAAGCUAAAUAUUGGCGAGAGACCGAUAGCGAACAAGUACAGUGAUGGAAAGAUGAAAAGCACUUUGAAAAGAGAGUGAAACAGCACGUGAAAUUGUUGAAAGGGAAGGGCUUGCAAGCAGACACGGUUUUACCGGGCCAGCGUCAAAUAAACGGGGGGGAAAAGGGGGAAAGAAUGUGGCGCGUGCCUUCGGGUUCGCGUGUUAUAGCUUUCUCUAAUACCCCCAUGUUUGUUUGAGGCCUGCGAUUCUAGGACGCUGGCGUAAUGGUUGCAAGCCGCCCGCU
This 532-nucleotide ribosomal RNA is filed under the name Clavispora lusitaniae. RNAcentral's name for it is "partial large subunit ribosomal RNA". It matches the Rfam family "Eukaryotic large subunit ribosomal RNA", at positions 52 to 653 of the family's 3401-position model. The record is from RNAcentral. Lineage: Eukaryota; Fungi; Ascomycota; Pichiomycetes; Serinales; Metschnikowiaceae.